RNAcentral lists this unclassified non-coding RNA (1131 nucleotides) under Habropoda laboriosa. Its description in RNAcentral is "uncharacterized LOC108570970, transcript variant X1". The record is from RNAcentral. Lineage: Eukaryota; Metazoa; Arthropoda; Insecta; Hymenoptera; Apidae.
CGCCGCGCGACCAGACGAACCUGCUCAGGUGUCACGUUCCUGUUCCUUUACCUUGUGCAUCGAGUAUAAUACAAACACCGAGACGGUCUCUCUAGUAAACACGUGUGACAGUCAUAUUCCACUGUAAUUACGGAUUAAUCGCAACGAUAUCUGAGAGAAAAAUGCCGCCGCGCCUGAUCGUUCAGAAAACCAUUGCUCUUGUGAUUCUUUGCACAUUAGCAGCAGUUGCUCAAGAUACCAAGUUCCACGGUGACUCUGACGGUAUAGUUUUUCCUGGACCUAUCAACGACAGGAGUAAAGCCACGAAACCAGCGGUUCCUCCUGUUCAGCCUGCGCAGAGCCGCGAUAGAGACGUCGAAAUGAAAUCCUUGAACGUAGCCAGGAUGUUGAAUAACGCCGAUUCGGUCGACGAAAUGCUCAAACUGUUCGGCUACACGGAAAAGCAGCCCUUUGCAAUUGACGUUAGAAUAGGCGGACCUGAGGAACGCUCGAACGCCGAAAGACCACAGCUAGCCAAAUGUAUGCCCGAAUUACAGACAGUCCCGUUGAAACAAGAACACGAUCCGUCCACCAUUUACAUCCCGUCAUGCACGCGGAUCAUGAGAUGCGGAGGUUGUUGUAGCCACGAGUUGCUCUCCUGUCAGCCAACCGCCUCGGAAACACGAAAUUUCGAGGUGUUCGUGACGUCGAUCGUUGAGUUUGGACGUGUGGAUAAGCGCAUCGUGCCGUUGGAGGAACACACGAGUUGCGUGUGCGAUUGCAAGACUAAGAAGGAGGACUGCAAUGAGAAACAGACCUAUUUACCGGACGAAUGCAUGUGCUCGUGCAAAAACGUCGACGAAGAGGAGAAAUGUUAUAAAAACAACAAUACGAAAAUCUGGAAUCCAAAUCAGUGUGCUUGCUUCUGCAGACAAGAAUUAGAAUGUUCUACCGGAUUUUUCUUCGAUCAAAAUACGUGCAGGUGUGAGCAGAAAAGAAAAAGCUAAGAGCCACUGUUACGGGAAUAAGAUCUCUUUUCUCUCACUGCACUCUGCUCUUUCACAUAUCUUAUGUCGACAAAUACCACUGUCUAGGACGUGGUUUCAGCCAUCAAAGGGUGCCGAUUAUGGAUUUGCACACACACAAAAAUCA